GACGAACGCUGGCGGCGUGCUUAACACAUGCCAGUCGAACGGAAAGGCCCUGCUUGCAGGGUACUCGAGUGGCGAACGGGUGAGUAACACGUGGGUGAUCUGCCCUGCACUUCGGGAUAAGCUUGGGAAAAUGGGUGGAAUACCGGAUAGAAGCCCUCUUGAGUGGGGGGGUGGGAAAGUUUUUUCGGUGUAGGAUGAGCGCGCGGCCUGUCAGCUUGUUGGUGGGGUAGUGGCCUACCAAGGCGGCGACGGGGAGCCGGCCUGAGAGGGUGUGCGGCCACAUAGGGGCUGAGAUACGGCGCAGAGUCCCACGGGGGGCAGCGGUGGGGAAUAUUGCACAAUGGGCGCGAGCCUGAUGCAGCGAGGCCGCGUGGGGGAUGUAGGCCCUCGGGUUGUAAACUCCGUUCGCUACGGAGGAAGAUUGUUUGUGACGGUACCUGGAUAAGAAGCACCGGCUAACUACGUG
Molecule: ribosomal RNA, 466 nt
Filed under: uncultured bacterium
Lineage: Bacteria
Description: partial 16S ribosomal RNA
Rfam family: Bacterial small subunit ribosomal RNA
Source: RNAcentral